GGCAGACUAUAACUUUAAUUUCUUGGUUUAUUCCAUCAUUUACAGUGACAGAGCACCCAUGGAAUAACAUUGAAGGCCUUCUGUUUCAAGGAGAUGAUUAGAGCUCACUGAAAAAGUGGGUGAAUUGGUUGGAAGGUGAAUCUCUUCUGUUUAUCAUGGAUCUUAUUUUGGACGGUCUCCAACAUUCAGGGUUUGUUGAAAUCCUUGUGAAUCCAUCUACAAACCUACAAGAGCCUCUUCAGAACCUCAUCAUCCAUGGAGACUCCCUCCUUGGUUUGGGCUGCAGUGGACUCUCUCCACCCCAGUGACCAGCAUGUUUAGCAAAGUUUGUUCCCAUCAUUGGGUGCCAUGCUUGAUAUUAGUAAUCAGAGAAUUGGACAAAA
Molecule: long non-coding RNA, 383 nt
Organism: Monodelphis domestica (gray short-tailed opossum)
Lineage: Eukaryota; Metazoa; Chordata; Mammalia; Didelphimorphia; Didelphidae
Source: RefSeq, a predicted model, not a curated record